RNAcentral lists this ribosomal RNA (253 nucleotides) under uncultured bacterium. RNAcentral describes it as "partial 16S ribosomal RNA". It matches the Rfam family "Bacterial small subunit ribosomal RNA", at positions 524 to 776 of the family's 1533-position model. The record is from RNAcentral.
UACGUAGGGGGCAAGCGUUGUCCGGAAUCAUUGGGCGUAAAGGGCGUGUAGGCGGUCCGGUAAGUCCGCUGUGAAAGUCGGGGGCUCAACCCUCGAAUGCCGGUGGAUACUGUCGGGCUAGAGUGCGGAAGAGGCGAGUGGAAUUCCUAGUGUAGCGGUGAAAUGCGCAGAUAUCAGGAGGAACACCUAUUGCGAAGGCAGCUCGCUGGGACGUAACUGACGCUGAGACGCGAAAGCGUGGGGAGCAAACAGG